AUGAAGCCCUUCGGGGUGUAAACUUCUGAACUCGGGACGAUGAUGACGGUACCGAGGUAAUAGCACCGGCUAACUCCGUGCCAGCAGCCGCGGUAAUACGGAGGGUGCGAGCGUUACCCGGAUUUACUGGGCGUAAAGGGCGUGUAGGCGGUCUUUCAAGUCCGAUGCUAAAGACUGGGGCUCAACCCCAGGGGUGCGUUGGAUACUGUGAGGCUAGACGGUCGGAGGGGGUAGCGGAAUUUCCGGAGUAGCGGUGAAAUGCGCAGAUACCGGAAGGAAC
Molecule: ribosomal RNA, 280 nt
Filed under: uncultured bacterium
Lineage: Bacteria
Description: partial 16S ribosomal RNA
Rfam family: Bacterial small subunit ribosomal RNA
Source: RNAcentral